Long non-coding RNA from Dendronephthya gigantea, 592 nucleotides. RefSeq lists it as uncharacterized. NCBI's taxonomy places the organism in Eukaryota, Metazoa, Cnidaria, Anthozoa, Malacalcyonacea, Nephtheidae. The record is from RefSeq and is a predicted model, not a curated record. The transcript has 8 exons.
ACCGAAAGUUUGCGAUGUUUUGCAUAUAAUCGAGAAGAUUGCCACUGUCCAGUAGAUCCUCUCAAGCGAUACGUCAAGCCGUCGUGUAAAGAACAUGUAAGAAGAUUAGUGGUUAUAAAUUACAUUGGAGUGAACGAAAGGUUCCAGUGACGUUAGAGGUCUCAGAUUAUCCUAGGGGAUUUGUUGUUGUCUGUGGUGGUUUUAGCACAAUGCAUCUUUUCACAUCAGAGAGGAGAGAGGAAUUGCUGAAAAAGUUGAUGGAAUCUUCUUUAAAUAAUGUUGGUGUUACGAUAAAUGAUGACGACCAUAUCACAUCAAUGUCAGAAUUCAGCGUCUAUAAAGAAACUCCUCGGAGUAAAAUAUUUUCAAUAAUUCGCUAUCGAAACCAUCCUCAGCUGUUCGGGCUGGAAUACACAAGCGGUCGGCUGAGAAAUUACUCGUCUCCUGACAGGGAAACAUUAUUGGCUGGUUUGCUAGACGGUGUUAGAGCCAGUUGAAACAGAGAUGUUUGCGUAAAAACGACCCCAACGAAGAGAAGUACUGUACGCUUAUUCAUAGAUGAUUGAGCGAAAAUUAUGGUCAAAAUUUUCCU